RNA transcript from Alnus glutinosa, 3486 nucleotides. RefSeq lists it as uncharacterized. The transcript is spliced from 6 exons. The record is from RefSeq and is a predicted model, not a curated record. NCBI's taxonomy places the organism in Eukaryota, Viridiplantae, Streptophyta, Magnoliopsida, Fagales, Betulaceae.
GGAAGACCCUGCACGAAACCACUGGUACGAUUAUAUCUUUCCUCAAAUUUCGAUUCCCAGAUGGUUCAAUUAUCAACAAAAUUCUGUGUCCGACCUAAGAAUGCAGCCGCCUCCAAAUUUGCAUAACAAUACGAGAUGGAUGGGAUUCUCUGUAUAUGCUUUGUAUACUGUCGACAAGCAACCAGCUCAGGAUUCAACAAUUUUUUUAAAUUUUUCUGGUCUUUUGGCUUCUGGUCAAGCCCCUUACCGGGCCUUUCCGCUGUCUAGAGACAUUUUUUUUGGGUCACGUCGGCUUUUGGUAUUUUAUAUACCACGCCUGCUAUUUGGGUUGAAUCAGUGUAGUGAGAUUUGGGCUUCAUUCCAAAGCAAUAACCCACGUGUAGUGAAGUUUGAAAUGUGUGGAAUCCGUAUUGUAUGCGACCAAGAUAUUGAAGAGUUUGUGGAAACAUUAGUCCAGUGCAUGUUAGAGUGCCCGAAUGAGUAUCAUCAAUCUUAUCACUUGAAUCUUUUAGCUCAAGUUACAGAAUUGCGAGGCUGCGACCAUGGAACGGAUUUUAGUUGCUCUUUCACAUUGCAAAGGGGGCCUCAAGCCAUGCCUAAGCUUCUACCGAGUAUUGAAAAUGUAGCAGAGGGGGGUUGUGCUUCACCAGAAUCAUUUUCAAAUCAAGCUGGCACUUCUACAGUUUUAGGCAUACCGUUACGGGAUUAUCAAUCUGGAAGUACUUCGUCAAUACGCGUCCUUGAAGAUCAGUUCAAAUUGAACUUGGAGCGCACCCACAUCAACCACAUCAACCACAACGUAUUCAAUAUUUGCUUCCCUCAAAGUGAAAUCCCAGAGUGGUUCAUGCAUCAGAGUGGCAGGGCGCCCUCAGUGAAAAUUAUUCUACCUCCAAAUUUGUAUUAUGAUCCUGAAUGGAUGGGAUUUGCUCUAUGUUGUGUUUUCUCAUUUCACAAGCAUCCAAGUGCCAUAAAUUUGGAUUCGGGAUUUCAUCAUCGCUUCAUGUGUCAUGUGGAAACCGACCUUGGUUGUGUGAGUCCGUUAUUUGAGUCUAGCAUCAGUGAAGCCCAAGUACAAAAUCACCAACGUUCAUUCAUUUGGGUGUUGUUCCAACCACGUUGGUUGCUUUCAGAGCAGUGGAGUGAAGUCACUUGGAUUGGCUUCUCGUUUAUGAGUAUAAGUGAACAUGUCUCGGCGGUCAAGUGUGGGGUUAGUCUUGUAUACCAGGAAAAUAUGGAAGAGUUUACUUGUACAUAUGUACAACUCAUGGCCUCCUUUGUUGCCUUUGCCAAGGACAUCCAAAGCCGUAGGUCUCUCCCUCCCCCUGGGGGUCCGGAGCAAAUGCAGUAUGAGCACCCACACUCUCACAAAACGGGCCCACUGGACUUUCAUCCCUCCUUUUCUUAUAAUUACUGCUUCCCUCCAAGUAACGUAACCCAGGAGUGGUUCGGUCAUCAGAGUCGCGGGCACUCGGUGACAAUUGACAUACCAUCAAAUUUGUACAAUGACAACAAUUGGAAGGGAUUCGCUCUGUGCGCUUCUUUUUCAAUAGACGGGGAUCCAGAAACCAUCAUUGACAAUUGGGUUUCAGAAACUCUCCACUUCCUAAAUUGUCAAUUCAGAACCGGUGUAGCUGGUUUGGAUGAUAAGGACUUUGGUUGUGGCACCUCGAGAAUAGAAAUCUUGAUGUUAAUUUGUCUAGGCCAAUUCAUUUGGAUAUCCUACGUACCGGGUGAGCCAUUUAAGUAUAUGUUGCGCCAGUGCAGCAGCAUUGAAGCUUCGUUUGAAAGUGAUUGGUGGCCAUGUGUGACGGUGCAAACAUGUGGGUUUCGUCUUUUGUUCCAACAUGAUCAGGUAGAAUUUGAGCAAAAACUAAAACACUGCAAGGCCUUGAUUGAUCAACUUGCCAAUUCUAUUUCGCAAUAUGCGGGUGGUGAUCAUGAAAAAAUAAAUGAGCAAAAUCCAAAUGAUAUUGAGGUAGGAAGCAUACUUACAAAGGACUUCUUAACUCAAAUAUGUAAAAGACCUAUUGAGCAAGCGGAGACUGAUGAUCAACUCGGCAAAAGAGACUUACUGGACUUUGAUGGAUGCUCUGAAUUCAAUUUGUGUUUCCCUCCAAGAGAAAUCCUUCAUUGGUUCAGCCACCGUAGUAAUGAGCCGUCGGUGAAAAUUGACGUACCCACAAAUUUGUACGAUGACAGUGGUUGGAUGGGACUUUUUCUUUGUGCUUAUUUUUCAGUCCAUGAGGAUCAAACUGCCAUCCCUGAGAAGCCCGAUUCGGCAAUUUCUCCCCAACUUAUUUGUCAUUUGGAAAGCAACAAUGUAGCUGGCCCAGAGCAAGGAGUACUCCAUGUCCACGCCACCACUAAAGCAGAAUUUAGGUGGUUAUAUAUACAAGAUGAAUUUCUUUGGCUGUCAUAUAUUCCACAUGGGUCAUUACCGGAUUGGUUGAAUCAAUCCAGUUUCCUGAAGGCUUCAUUCUUAAGCGACUGGCCAGGUUUAAUGGCUCAGAAAUGUGGGCUUCGUUUCUUCCACGUGCAUGAUGAGGAGGAGUUUGAGAAAAUAAUAUUCCGUGCCGGCUUGGUUUCUGAAGUUGUGGAUCUCGUCCGUCAACCAGUGGCUAAAGGCGAAAGUACUAGAGCUAAGAAUCAACGCUAACAGAGCAACCUGCCGGUAAUUAAGAAACUAUGAGUAUUUGAUUAGCCAUGUUAAAGAUCCAAUCAUCUCAAUGAAAAUCUUACAAGCCACAAAGGACUUUGAUCCAUGCUUCAACUAUUGUUUUCUUCCAAAUGAAAUUAUGGACCUGUUCAGCCAUCGGAGUGAUGAGCCCCAAGUGACAAUCCGUAUACCCCCGAAUUUGUACGAUGAUCCUACUUGGAUGGGAGUUGGUCUCUGUGUUUUAUUUUCAGUCCGGGAGCGUUGUACUAUUGCUGGCAACCUUACUUGUCGGUUGGAAACCGAUAUUGGUAGUCUGGAAAAUCUCCAUACGUAUUGCCUCACUAAAGAAGAUCUCAUGUUGUUAGUGCAAGGUGGAUUCAUUUGGACGAGUUAUAUACCUCGUUGGUCGUUUCCAAACUGGUUGAAUCAGAGCAGUUUCAUCAAGGCUUCAAUUAUGAACCUAUUGCAGAAGUGCGUUUUCCUUCUUUUAUUCUAGACUAGGCUUGACCGUGCAAAAGUGUGAGUUCCGUCUUUUGUACCUGAACGAAGAGACAACAUCUUUAAGCCAAACCAGAAAGGACAAAGCAGCUGAGCCCAGUGCAGCCAGCAGUUCUGAUGAUCCUAGGCUUCAAGACAAGGGCAAAAGAAUCUCAGAAUAACCUCUCCUCUGCUUGGCCUGCUGCUUCUGUUUCUUUAGGUUGACUUGUAAGUCAUCUAUUCCUCUAGUUUCUAUCAUAAGUUUAUUAAAAUAAACUCGUCAUUUUUACUGUCUAAAUAGUAAAUACAUCAGAAACUGAAUCAAAUCAACAAUAUAUUCUUCCAAAAAUAUA